This 468-nucleotide ribosomal RNA is filed under the name uncultured bacterium. Its description in RNAcentral is "partial 16S ribosomal RNA". It matches the Rfam family "Bacterial small subunit ribosomal RNA", at positions 28 to 507 of the family's 1533-position model. The record is from RNAcentral.
GACGAACGCUGGCGGCGUGCUUAACACAUGCAAGUCGAACGGAAAGGCCCUGCUUUUGUGGGGUGCUCGAGUGGCGAACGGGUGAGUAACACGUGAGUAACCUGCCCUUGACUUUGGGAUAACUUCAGGAAACUGGGGCUAAUACCGGAUAGGAGCUCCUGCUGCAUGGUGGGGGUUGGAAAGUUUCGGCGGUUGGGGAUGGACUCGCGGCUUAUCAGCUUGUUGGUGGGGUAGUGGCUUACCAAGGCUUUGACGGGUAGCCGGCCUGAGAGGGUGACCGGCCACAUUGGGACUGAGAUACGGCCCAGACUCCUACAGGAGGCAGCAGUGGGGAAUAUUGCACAAUGGGCCGACGCCUGAUGCAGAAACGCCGCGUGCGGGAUGACGGCCUUCGGGUUGUAAACCGCUUUCGCCUGUGACGAAGCGUGAGUGACGGUAAUGGGUAAAGAAGCACCGGCUAACUACGUG